GCCCGAACCGACCCGACCGGGGGGGGCGGGGCCCGCUCGGGCCGCCUCAACAUGGUGGCCGUUCCCGCUCCUCUUCUCCGCGUCUACACGUGCAGCGAGACGUUAUCUCAAGGCGGAGGGGUGCGGAGAACUCGCCGAGGCUCGGUGUCUCCUGAGGUCGGGUACCAAGAAGACAGCACACCUCGAUGUGGGAGAAGAUGGCAGGCCCCCACCCACCCACCGUCAGAAUAAUGUCAAAG
Long non-coding RNA from Tachyglossus aculeatus (Australian echidna), 239 nucleotides. RefSeq lists it as uncharacterized. The transcript is spliced from 3 exons. NCBI's taxonomy places the organism in Eukaryota, Metazoa, Chordata, Mammalia, Monotremata, Tachyglossidae. The record is from RefSeq and is a predicted model, not a curated record.